UGGGUGAUCUGCCCUGCACUUCGGGAUAAGCCUGGGAAACUGGGUCUAAUACCGGAUAUACCUCAUUGAUCUCCUGGUUGGUGGGGGAAAGCUUUUGCGGUGUGGGAUGGCCCGCGGCCUAUCAGCUUGUUGGUGGGGUGAUGGCCUACCAAGGCGACGACGGGUAGCCGGCCUGAGAGGGUGACCGGCCACACUGGGACUGAGACACGGCCCAGACUCCUACGGGAGGCAG
This 232-nucleotide ribosomal RNA is filed under the name uncultured bacterium. Its description in RNAcentral is "partial 16S ribosomal RNA". It matches the Rfam family "Bacterial small subunit ribosomal RNA", at positions 118 to 351 of the family's 1533-position model. The record is from RNAcentral.